RNAcentral lists this ribosomal RNA (411 nucleotides) under uncultured eukaryote. Its description in RNAcentral is "SSU rRNA". It matches the Rfam family "Eukaryotic small subunit ribosomal RNA", at positions 21 to 438 of the family's 1831-position model. The record is from RNAcentral.
UAGUCAUAUGCUUGUCUCAAAGAUUAAGCCAUGCAUGUCUAAGUAUACGCAAAUUAUACUGUGAAACUGCGAAUGGCUCAUUAAAUCAGUUAUAGUUUAUUUGAUGUUUCUUGCUACAUGGAUAACUGUGGUAAUUCUAGAGCUAAUACAUGCGUAAAAAGCCCCGACUUCUGGAAGGGGUGUAUUUAUUAGAUAAAAACCAUCCUCCUCGGAGUUUGGUGAUUCAUAAUAACUUCUCGAAUCGCACGGCCUUGUGCUGGCGAUGCUUCAUUCAAAUAUCUGCCCUAUCAACUGUCGAUGGUAGGAUAGAGGCCUACCAUGGUUGCAACGGGUAACGGGGAAUAAGGGUUCGAUUCCGGAGAGGGAGCCUGAGAAACGGCUACCACAUCCAAGGAAGGCAGCAGGCGCGCA